Molecule: ribosomal RNA, 468 nt
Filed under: uncultured bacterium
Lineage: Bacteria
Description: partial 16S ribosomal RNA
Rfam family: Bacterial small subunit ribosomal RNA
Source: RNAcentral
GACGAACGCUGGCGGCGUGCUUAACACAUGCAAGUCGAACGGAAAGGCCCUGCUUUUGUUGGGUGCUCGAGUGGCGAACGGGGGAGUAACACGUGUGUAACCUGCCCUUGACUUUGGGAUAACUUCUGGAAACUGGGGCUAAUACCGGAUAUGAGCUCUUGCUCCACGGGGUGGGUUGGAAAGUUUCGGCGGUUGUGGAUGGACUCGCGGGUUAUCCGCUUGUUGGUGGGGUAGUGGCUUACCAAGGCUUCGACGGGUAGCCGGCCUGAGAGGCGGACCGGCCACAUGGGGACUGAGAUACGGCCCAGAAGCAUACGGGAGGCAGCAGUGGGGAGUAUUGCACAGUGGGCGGAAGCCUGAUGCAGCAACGCCGGGUGCGGGAUGACGGCCUUCUGGUUGUAAACCGCUUUCGCCUGUGACGAAGCGUGAGUGACGGUAAUGGGUAAAGAAGCACCGGCUAACUACGUG